RNAcentral lists this transfer RNA (82 nucleotides) under Arsenicibacter rosenii. It matches the Rfam family "tRNA". From Rfam's summary of the family: Transfer RNA (tRNA) molecules are approximately 80 nucleotides in length. Lineage: Bacteria; Pseudomonadati; Bacteroidota; Cytophagia; Cytophagales; Spirosomataceae. The record is from Rfam by way of RNAcentral.
GCGGGCGUGGCGAAAUUGGUAGACGUACUUGACUUAGGAUCAAGCGCCGUGAGGCAUGGGGGUUCGAGUCCCUCCGCCCGUA